RNAcentral lists this small nuclear RNA (34 nucleotides) under Cervus elaphus hippelaphus. The record is from RNAcentral. Lineage: Eukaryota; Metazoa; Chordata; Mammalia; Artiodactyla; Cervidae.
AAAUCUUUCGCCUUUUACUAAAGAUUUCCGUGGA